UCGAACACAGAAGUUAAGCUUCUUAGCGCCGAUUGUAGUGAAGGGUUUCCCUUUGUGAGAGUAGGACAUUGCCGCGC
Molecule: ribosomal RNA, 77 nt
Filed under: Trichococcus collinsii
Lineage: Bacteria; Bacillati; Bacillota; Bacilli; Lactobacillales; Carnobacteriaceae
Source: RNAcentral